Macaca mulatta (Rhesus monkey) is the source of this 2336-nucleotide long non-coding RNA. The record is from Ensembl. NCBI's taxonomy places the organism in Eukaryota, Metazoa, Chordata, Mammalia, Primates, Cercopithecidae.
CUCAACAGCUCUAGUGUGGGGAAGACUCCUCUGAAAGAGCUGGACGUGCAGAUCAGGAAGCACCUUCCACAGGUCCAAGGAGGAGUGCUGGGGAGCCUGGAGAUAUAGCAGGCUGGUGGGCAGACCGAGGGGAGGGGCCUAAAGUUAACUGGGCCGGGGGAGGCAACAAUGAGAGGGCACAGAAAUAACAGUCGGUGGGGCAGAAGGUCAGAGAGGGCGGUGGACCCUGAAACAGGGCCUGGAGAGCUGUUGGCAGUAACCCUCACUUUAGUGAACUUCUUGGGACACUAGAAAGAAAGGCUCAGAAACAACCUGGUUACAUGGAGAACCCCUGUGGGGAGUUUGCGGACCACUGGAGAGGAGGAUUCUGGGGAAAGACAGGCAUGCUUGUAAUUCAAGGUGAUUAUUCAAGAGCGGACUCUGAGCGUCUAGAUCUGGAGCCAACUGAACUUGAUUAAUAUUCAACGAGGUCACCACUAUACCAGAUGUCCGCUUCUCUGACCCACCACAGGAAGAUCACUAUGCGGGACUUGUAAAAGAGAUUUCCAAAACUCAGUUUUGUAACUUUUGGCCACGUGUCUAUUCAAGAGUAUCAAAGCGUUGAGGCAGUUAUCCAGGAGGUCUGAAAUGACAGAAGGUGUUUGGAGAGCGUGCUUAGCACUCUGUGACUUCCACUCACACUUGCCUUCUCCCUCUCCCUCACUUCCAGCCCAGGGAGGGGAGCUUUAAUGGGAUCCUCAAGGAGCUGGACAUUUAAUUCACAGAGCCGAAGGGGCUUGGUGGACUGAUGUUUGAUUCAUGCCUAAAAAUUCUAAAGGGUAUGAGAACGUGAUUGUGGAUGGCCUGGACUCAUGGACAGAGUUCCACAGAGCAGCAUUUGCAGGUGGCCCAGAGGUGCUGUUGGCCACCUGUGGCAUGUUCAGAGGUAUGAUGGGGAGAUGACACCAGGUGACCAGGAUUCAAAAGGGCUUGCUGAGGUGGUGGAGGCCCAGCAUUCGACAAGGAAAGAGGUGAGGAAAAAAACAGAAAAAUGAGUGGUCAUAAAGCUUCUCAAAUACUACCAUUUUACAUAAGACAAUUUUGGAAACAUCUGAAGUUUGGCAGCAAUUCCAGGAGAAUUUGGCUCUGCAAAUCCCAGUAGCUAAUUGUACUAGUUUGCCAGGGCCACAGACUGGGGGCAUUAAACAAGACUGUAUUUAUUCACCAUUCUGGAGGCUGGAAGUCCGAGAUCCAGGUGCUGAUAGGGUUGGUUCCACCCGGGGCCACUCUCCUUAGCAGUAGAUGCCGUCUUCUCCCUGUGUCCCCACCUGGUCCUCCCUCUGUGUGUCUCUGUGUCCUCAUUUCCUUUUCUGAUAAGGACACCAGUCAGAUUAGAUUAAGUCCCAUCCUAAUGGCCUCAUUUUCACUUAAUUACCUCUUUUAAGAGUCAAAUUCGGAGGCACUGAAGGUUAGGAUUUCAGCAUACGAAUUUUGGGGGGGCAUAAUUCAGCCAAUUGCACUAGUGACCAUCUCAGGGGUCUGUAGAGCCAGCUGGUUCCCUACAGCCAGUGCUCCCCAUCUCCAUUACAGGAGCCGCUGCAGGUAGCCCCAGGUCAUGGUGGCUGCCACGGACCACUGCCUUCAGCACCCUCCCUCCCUCCUCUGUCUCUACUGUCAUCCCCCACAGUGACACACACAUUACCCUUGUGGAUCCUAAAUGUGAAUCGACUGCUCCUCAUUCAUCCUGGGUGUACCCGACAUCUUCGAAUCAUCUCAGGGCCACUCCUAUUUGUUGCCUCGAUCAUUGGCUACUUGAACUUAAAGAGGUCAAAUAAACAGAGUUCAAAGCCAUGGUGCAUGUAAUAAUGUUCGGAAUUCAGGAUGUAGACAGGGAACCUCCCUGAAUGUUGUCACAAUUCUUUUGGUCCUAUAGUAAGGCAUGCCCCACAUUAGAACAUACAGCUCAGAGGAGGUUUCUCCCUGGGGACAGCUAUGCCCCUAGGGAAACGUCCGGUUCACAGUGAGUCACCGCUGAGAGAGCGUCAGCUCAUGUUUUCGGUAAUUUUCGAAUAAAAUGGUAUCUCUAUUAAAUACACGUAUAGAAAGGUAAAAAUAGAUUGAGCAUUUUCUAAGUAGCUCUGGCCCAAGGUAAAGUGGUGAAGGAGUUGUUAGUUCUCUCGGAGCAAAAUAAAGCUGCUCUUCCUUCAUCCCCAGCCACACUUCAACUUCAUCCUAGGACAAACAAGAAAUGCCCCAUAGAAAGAAAAUGAAAACGCUGUUCUUGACUGGACUGCUUCAGAAAUAUGCUUGGAUUGAGAGUUCCAGCUUUUCUGGGAUUCAUUCUUACAGAGUCUAGC